RNAcentral lists this non-coding RNA (28 nucleotides) under Mus musculus (house mouse). The record is from RNAcentral. Lineage: Eukaryota; Metazoa; Chordata; Mammalia; Rodentia; Muridae.
CAGGGAAUGGUGCUGUUUGCUUUUAGGG